This 370-nucleotide ribosomal RNA is filed under the name uncultured organism. RNAcentral describes it as "partial 16S ribosomal RNA". It matches the Rfam family "Bacterial small subunit ribosomal RNA", at positions 527 to 896 of the family's 1533-position model. The record is from RNAcentral.
GUAGGUGGCAAGCGUUGUCCGGAAUUAUUGGGCGUAAAGCGCGCGCAGGCGGUUCUUUAAGUCUGAUGUGAAAGCCCACGGCUCAACCGUGGAGGGUCAUUGGAAACUGGAGAACUUGAGUACAGAAGAGGAAAGCGGAAUUCCACGUGUAGCGGUGAAAUGCGUAGAGAUGUGGAGGAACACCAGUGGCGAAGGCGGCUUUCUGGUCUGUAACUGACGCUGAGGCGCGAAAGCGUGGGGAGCAAACAGGAUUAGAUACCAUGGUAGUCCACGCCGUAAACGAUGAGUGCUAAGUGUUAGGGGGUUUCCGCCCCUUAGUGCUGCAGCUAACGCAUUAAGCACUCCGCCUGGGAGUACGGCCGCAAGGCUG